CCACAGUUCCCCUCUCCUUCAUGUGCGGGCAUGUUCAAAGCCAGACAAGUGACCACAGGGCCACAGCUGAAACUCAUUAAAGUGUAACAUGGUGAAUGAAUGAUGAUGACAGGCUGUGCCUGAUCUGUCAUGAGGACAUGCAGAAGAGUGGAGGGGCAGUUCAAGAGCUUCACUGUACACACCGCUUCCACAAAGAGGAUUCUUCACUCAUUCACUCCAAUCGCAGCAUGUCAGAUAGGCUAUCAGAUCCUUGGUGCAUGAAAGCAGCUAAUUCCAGGAUAUGCAUGAUGUGCAAGGCGCUUCGGAGGUCGGAGCAGUGUCGGCCCCGCAGUGGCAGUGAAGCAGCGGCUUGUCAGGUGAGGAGGAUCUCGGAUUAGAGGAGGAAGUCGGCGGACGGGCCAAUCUCCACGGAGAAGGAGCAUCACACAUUCCGUCGACAACUUUCCCUGCGGAGACAUCGCUGAUAUCAUUCAAUGGGAAGAGGUGACUCAUAGGUGGAAAAAUUGAGGAUUUGCACCCAUGGGCCAGACAUCAGGAUACUCUCCUGAACAUUUACUGCAUUUAUGGUGUGAUGUUCAAGUGAUUUAAUCUCAGGGCCGUGACUGUGCCUGACCUGAACCUGUAAAACGGCCCCCUGUGGACCCCAUUGCUAUGUCAGCUUUGGAGUCUUCAUAACUCUUUAUUUAGGAAGAUCCAUAAAUUGUAAUUCACAAUUGUUAAAGCAUUUUAAAAGUUAGAAUAAAAUUAAACUUUUUUUGAUGAAUAUGUGACUCUACAUAUUAGCUCUACCACUUUUAUAAAUGAGAUGUAUAAAACAUUUGCUUCAUAGUAGUACAUAAAAAGGAGAAUUUUUUUAUUUUGGUUUCUGAGAUUUCUCUUUACUUUUGAAAAAUAAAUAUCUUGAAACAGAUUUUUUAUGACUUAAACCAUUUUUUACACUCCUUUGUCUGAAAAUAACAAAGUUAAAGUUACACACUAACUUCAGAGUGUCAAUGGUACUGUAUAUUGAGUAUUUGCAUAUUGUGCAUACUUAUUGUGGUCAGUUUGUAUGUAUUGUGUACUCAGUCCAUGUUGAUGACAGGAUUAAAUCUUGUGACAUGGACAGAAAUAGUAAUACUUGCGGCUUCUGGAUGACUUUGCUAAUCUGAAAGUGAGUGAGUGCACCUAUCUGCCCGUGUUAAUAAUCUUUUAUGCCCGUGUUAAUAAUCUUUUAUGCCCGUGUUAAUAAUCUUUACUCUGUGAAUCCCUCUCCUGAAACUGUCGUGUCUCAUUUUCCAUCCGCGCCAUCCUCCUGCCUUAUCUAUGCUGUUGUUGAUGUGACAUAUUUCACGUGUGAGGUCUAAUUGAAUGUCUUCCCUGCUGGUGUGUAUCUUGCACUGCCAAAUGAGACUUUACAGCAUGUGCUAAAAGUCAGACUGUCUGCAUAUUUAUCCAUAAAAAUAAGUGAUAUGAAUGUGAUUUUAUUUCUAGGGACUGACAAAUACUUGUCUUUCCAUGUAUCGGAUGUACAUCACUACAUUAUUAUUAUUUCAUGUGAUAUUAAUUCAUAACUCCUGGUAAUCUGGUGUGGUCUUGCUUGGAUUUAUGUUCAACCAACAUUUAUCUGUGUGCACUCUGCAGCACAGAUGAUUAGAAUAGGCCUAAUUAUAACUGUGAGACUUCCAAGUUAUUUUUAUCUCUUUAAAGGGGAAAAGACAUUGUAACCAAGUUAUAUUUACUGUCCUCUCUGAGAGUUGAAAAUUUGUUUUCUGGGUUUUCUUUCAUACAGGACAUAUGAAACAUUGGUUGAUGUCUUACAUCUUAAAGGAUUUUUCCAAAAAUAAAGAAAAGCUUUGUAAAGCCA
This is a long non-coding RNA of Micropterus dolomieu (smallmouth bass), 1843 nucleotides long. RefSeq lists it as uncharacterized. NCBI's taxonomy places the organism in Eukaryota, Metazoa, Chordata, Actinopteri, Centrarchiformes, Centrarchidae. The record is from RefSeq and is a predicted model, not a curated record. The transcript has 4 exons.